AACCGCCUGAUGGUACUCCUAACA
RNAcentral lists this non-coding RNA (24 nucleotides) under Arabidopsis thaliana (thale cress). Lineage: Eukaryota; Viridiplantae; Streptophyta; Magnoliopsida; Brassicales; Brassicaceae. The record is from RNAcentral.